UUAAUUGUCCUGUCUGGGUAUCGCCAAACAGCGCAACCACGUGCUUCGGCACCUGCACCCAGCACAGGUUCGCAACCGACGUCGGCGCCCACACUAACAACUCCAAGUAGCGUCGCGGCUGACCCCUCUGUUGCCGGCAGCUCCGCGGUCGCUACCUCCGUACCUGACCAGAGGGCGCCCGUUUCACCAGCACCAGCUACGCCGCCCUCCGGUUACAGCACGCCUCUUGCCUCCAUGAAUGACCCAAGCAGGCCUGUUCCCACAACGUACGGUUAUGCGAGGUCUCCGGCAUCAAGCUCUUUCGGGCCUGGUACUUACGCCGUGACUGCAGGGGCACCACUUCCUCACGCUCCUGCUGCUGAUUCCCACGUCCCCGCUUCCUCGGCGCCUACUGUUUUCUCCGCAAGUCGUACCACUUCACUUGACUAUGGAGCUACUCGAGCCCCAGGGUACCCUCCAAGCGUUCAUGCACCCAGGGCGGAUGGUGGCUCCACGUCCUAUCGGCCUGGUUAACAGGCGUAUGGUUCCUACGCGCUUGGGUCUGCCGCGCCUGGUACAUCUGCGCCUGAUGUCGCCGUACCUGAAGGCUUCAUUCCCGACUCCUACGUACCUGCUCCCUCGGUGCCUAAAGACCCUCCACCUGAUUCGGCUGUGCCUAGUUCGACCGUUCCUGACUCUGCUGUGCCUGGCUCUGCAGCGCCCGUCAUCGGCGCGCCACUUUCUGAACAAGGAGCAGCACAGAUACCACCGGCUCCAGGCAGGCCCAACUGUACUCCUGGUCUUGAAUACUUGGCACUCAUCGAACAUAUUGUCAUACAGCAAAAAGUUGAACUUAUGGAAGAUUCGGGAUUCUGCACCAGGUGCUGCUGCGGCCCCCGGCGGUGCCUCGAGAUCGACGUGCUGGACUUCACGAACACCGCUGUGAUUCACAUUGUGCGACCCCUUCGAUGCGUGCACUGCUGCUGGUUCUGCUGCCUGCAGGUGCGCACUACGAACGGUGUCGCCAUAGGCGCAGUCACUAAGGAGUGGGGUGGACUCGUCAAGGAGUACUUUACAGACACCGACACCUUCAAUGUGAGCUUUCCCCUCGACCUGGAUGUUAACAUGAAGGCUGCACUCAUGGCUGCAGCCCUGCUCAUAGUAAGAUAUUAUAUUUUUUAUUGGUUGCUUACGUGAGUGAGCCUGUACGUACUACUUUAGUGAUGAACUCUCCUUUCUUUCUUUUUUUUGUCCAUUGCUGUUUUCUUCUCUUACUUUUUUUUUUACGCAGUGGGCAAAUUAAACACUACUGGGGAUAUAAAAAUAUCAAGAGCAAAAAAAAAAAAAAAGACAGUCGUACAUCGGUUAGGAGACGUACUAUGGUGUGCUUCAUUUGUUUUUCUCCACAUCGUUGUUGAUCUAUGUCUUUUACCUCCUGAAAGGGCCUCUGUAGGGCUUGCAGUACCCUCUAAAUAAAUAAGUAACUUCCAGAUCGCGACAUGCUGUUUCUUUUUCUGGAGGAAAACAAUCCGACGCCUUGCAUUAAAUUCUAUCGACAAACAUUUUGCAUUUCUCGAGUUUGUGUACGGAUUUGCGUCGUCCUGAUAUGUUGCUCCGAAACGAUAGGUCGAGCUUUUAAAGCUGAAAAGAAGCUCCCUAAAGGA
Dermacentor andersoni is the source of this 1643-nucleotide RNA transcript. It is a transcript of the gene named phospholipid scramblase 2-like, with no coding region annotated. Lineage: Eukaryota; Metazoa; Arthropoda; Arachnida; Ixodida; Ixodidae. The record is from RefSeq and is a predicted model, not a curated record.